GCGAUCAUACCAGCAUUAAUAUGUCGGAUCCCAUCAGAACUCCACAGUUAAGCGUGCUUGGGCGAGAGUAACACUAGGAUGGGUGACUCUCUAUGAAGUCUUCGUGUUCCACCCC
Non-coding RNA from Ilex paraguariensis (yerba mate), 115 nucleotides. NCBI's taxonomy places the organism in Eukaryota, Viridiplantae, Streptophyta, Magnoliopsida, Aquifoliales, Aquifoliaceae. The record is from the annotation of a GenBank genome assembly.